This 254-nucleotide ribosomal RNA is filed under the name uncultured bacterium. RNAcentral's name for it is "partial 16S ribosomal RNA". It matches the Rfam family "Bacterial small subunit ribosomal RNA", at positions 524 to 776 of the family's 1533-position model. The record is from RNAcentral.
UACGUAGGGCGCAAGCGUUGUCCGGAAUUAUUGGGCGUAAAGAGCUCGUAGGCGGUUUGUCGCGUCUGCUGUGAAAACCUAAGGCUCAACCUUGGGCUUGCAGUGGGUACGGGCAGACUAGAGUGCGGUAGGGGGUGACUGGAAUUCAUGGUGUAGCAGUGAAAUGCGCAGAUAUCAGGAGGAACACCGGUGGCGAAGGCGGGUCUCUGGGCCGAUACUGACGCUGAGGAGCGAAAGCGUGGGGAGCGAACAGG